CAGAAUUACAGACCUGAGGAAUCACAGAUCUGAGGAAAAGGAGGGCACAGGCCACCACCUUCCCCACAUAACCGACGGGGGCUGUACAGUGCGUGCGUUUGCUGUCUCAGAACAGGAAAACUGGGGAUGAAUCUGUAAAAAACCAGGAUGACUGGCUCUUUCACUAUCACCGCACUGGACCGGAAGCUCCGCCCCCAAAUCCCAUCAUUUACUCACUUCCAAAGCAGUUUCUCCACAGGCUCUCACUGUUCAUAUUAGAUAGUUGUAAAAUACAAAAGAUGUCUAUUUUUUCACUGGUGACUAAAAUAAAUGUUUCUGAAGCACCAAGAAGAAGAUUUCGAAUAGAGGAUGCAAGCUACAAUGCUUCAAUCUGUAUUUUAUUUAAAACUCACUCAAAAAUAAAUCUGUCAUUGUUUACCACCA
Peromyscus eremicus (cactus mouse) is the source of this 423-nucleotide long non-coding RNA. RefSeq lists it as uncharacterized. Lineage: Eukaryota; Metazoa; Chordata; Mammalia; Rodentia; Cricetidae. The transcript has 2 exons. The record is from RefSeq and is a predicted model, not a curated record.